CACCCACCACCGUACUCCUUCUCCACCCUGAACCCCAAUCGCCGUACAAGGACGUAUUUCCGGUGGUCGUCUUCGGCGGUGGAACGGUCGCAUCAAUCACUGGGUUUGAAGAGGGGUUAUCGCAUACAUGGUCAGCCUAGGGUUAGGAUGAAGAUGCAGUGAGAUGACGGCACAGCUUCUUACAGACCAACUGAAGAUUUCAAACGUCCUUAAAGAGCAGCCCUUCAUUAGCCUUUUCAGUAUCUCAGAGUUAAAAACAGGUUUUAAUGUUUUAAUUCGUUAAUGUUGCUCCCAAAAAGAGUUUGUGUUUCUUUGUUUAAUCACCGGUGGUUACAUACAUGCUAAUUUAAUUCAAAAUUGAACUAUAAUAUUCACCAAAAACAGAUUGACCAGGUGGUAGCACAUUAAUGGUG
This 413-nucleotide long non-coding RNA is filed under the name Helianthus annuus (common sunflower). RNAcentral's name for it is "hypothetical non coding rna". Lineage: Eukaryota; Viridiplantae; Streptophyta; Magnoliopsida; Asterales; Asteraceae. The record is from RNAcentral.